ACGCUGGCGGCAUGCUUUACACAUGCAAGUCGAACGGUAACAGGCCUUCGGGUGCUGACGAGUGGCGAACGGGUGAGUAAUGCAUCGGAACGUACCCAGAGGUGGGGGAUAACGCAGCGAAAGCUGUGCUAAUACCGCAUGUGAUCUGAGGAUGAAAGCGGGGGACCGAGCAGCAAUGUUUGGCCUCGCGCCUUUGGAGCGGCCGAUGUCGGAUUAGCUAGUUGGUGGGGUAAAGGCCUACCAAGGCGACGAUCCGUAGCUGGUCUGAGAGGACGACCAGCCACACUGGGACUGAGACACGGCCCAGACUCCUACGGGAGGCAGCAGUGGGGAAUUUUGGACAAUGGGCGCAAGCCUGAUCCAGCAAUGCCGCGUGCGGGAAGAAGGCCUUCGGGUUGUAAACCGCUUUUGGCAGGAACGAAACGGUGUCCGCUAAUACCGGGCGCUAAUGACGGUACCUGCAGAAUAAGCACCGGCUAACUACGUG
RNAcentral lists this ribosomal RNA (487 nucleotides) under uncultured bacterium. Its description in RNAcentral is "partial 16S ribosomal RNA". It matches the Rfam family "Bacterial small subunit ribosomal RNA", at positions 33 to 507 of the family's 1533-position model. The record is from RNAcentral.